CAGCAGCCACGGUAAUACAGAGGGUGCGAGCGUUAAUCGGAUUUACUGGGCGUAAAGCGUGCGUAGGCGGCUAAUUGAGUCGGAUGUGAAAUCCCCGAGCUUAACUUGGGAAUUGCAUUCGAUACUGGUUAGCUAGAGUGUGGGAGAGGAUGGUAGAAUUCCAGGUGUAGAGGUGAAAUGCGUAGAGAUCUGGAGGAAUACCGAUGGCGAAGGCAGCCAUCUGGCCUAACACUGACGCUGAGGUACGAAAGCAUGGGGAGCAAACAGGAUUAGAUACCCCUGUAGUCCCUGUCUCUUAUAC
RNAcentral lists this ribosomal RNA (301 nucleotides) under uncultured bacterium. RNAcentral's name for it is "partial 16S ribosomal RNA". It matches the Rfam family "Bacterial small subunit ribosomal RNA", at positions 509 to 807 of the family's 1533-position model. The record is from RNAcentral.